GCAGGGUCUUGAACGCUGAGCCAGUGGACCGUUAGUGGUCCUACUUAGUCAUUGGUCAGCGCCGCGCUGGACCCGCCCACAAGCAACCGUCAAAGAGCCGCCAGUUAGCGAGUGCGUUGAGUCAACGGUGGGCCUGCGCAAAGUGGCGGUCUUCAUACAGAGAGCAAGGCAGAGAAGAAGGUUCAAAGGCCCAGAACUAGCAUGUGUGGCUGGAGUGUAACCUCUCUGGGGUACAAACAGGGCAAGAGAUGUGACAGAGAAGCCGACCAGGUCACAGAGUGCCCUCCUCACAGUCCAAAGGACAAUGCGCAGAGAGAAUUAUGCCUGUCUCUGAAACCAGUGUCCCCUCUGGGGUUGUGAAAAUCACCAUGAAGAAACUGAAUGAAAUGACCCUUGAAGUUUGGAUUUGAUUUCUGGAAGUAGCCCAAAUAAUUGGAGCCAAGCCAGGUGAAUAAAUUGGUUAAUGAAGUUGGAUAACUGUUUUGGUUUUGUAACUGGCUGCCUAUUCACUGCAUGAACUCAUUUCAUUGGUCCAGUUUUGCCAUAUGGCAACAACAGAAAACUUCUCUUCCUUUUCUGUUACUUGCUUUCCUCACCUAAGCAACAGAGAGAGUAACCAUAAUCCAUCUAUCACAGGGAAAAGCCACCAAAGUUUAUAAGGUCAUAUCUCUAAAACGUUCCCGUGAAUAUGCCACAGUGCAAAUAUAGGAGACUAUUAUUGUUACUGCUGGCUUAUGUAGAAACAGUUACUCAUCACUUAUGUACUUCUUGGCAGGGCUUUCAAUCUCCCUCAUCCAGCCCCAUAUAGAUACACAUGGAGGAAACUCCUAGAAUUUCCGCAUCAGUUACCCUUGGCUGGUUUUAUUUUGUUAAACAUGAGGAGAGGUAGGAGGGAGGGAGAGAGGGAAAGAGAUAGAGAGGGAAGGAAAGAGAUGAACGCAUGGAAAUGAGUCUGACCUUUAAAAAUCUGUUACAACAAAAAAAACUCUUAAUGAAAGUGGGACUUUAAGCUAAACUUAUCCAUGUCCAUAGAUUUCCAUGAGGUUUUAAGACCGAAAGGCUCAGAUCUCCU
RNAcentral lists this long non-coding RNA (1072 nucleotides) under Capra hircus (goat). Its description in RNAcentral is "lncRNA (ENSCHIG00000007160.1)". Lineage: Eukaryota; Metazoa; Chordata; Mammalia; Artiodactyla; Bovidae. The record is from RNAcentral.